This 425-nucleotide ribosomal RNA is filed under the name uncultured bacterium. RNAcentral's name for it is "partial 16S ribosomal RNA". It matches the Rfam family "Bacterial small subunit ribosomal RNA", at positions 354 to 796 of the family's 1533-position model. The record is from RNAcentral.
GUGGGGAAUAUUGCACAAUGGGGGAAACCCUGAUGCAGCAACGCCGCGUGAGUGAUGACGGCCUUCGGGUUGUAAAGCUCUGUCUUCAGGGACGAUAAUGACGGUACCUGAGGAGGAAGCCACGGCUAACUACGUGCCAGCAGCCGCGGUAAUACGUAGGUGGCAAGCGUUGUCCGGAUUUACUGGGCGUAAAGGGAGCGUAGGCGGACUUUUAAGUGAGAUGUGAAAUACCCGGGCUUAACCUGGGUGCUGCAUUUCAAACUGGAAGUCUAGAGUGCAGGAGAGGAGAAUGGAAUUCCUAGUGUAGCGGUGAAAUGCGUAGAGAUUAGGAAGAACACCAGUGGCGAAGGCGAUUCUCUGGACUGUAACUGACGCUGAGGCUCGAAAGCGUGGGGAGCAAACAGGAUUAGAAACCCCAGUAGUCC